UCGUGUAACGUUUGCGAGUCGUUUAUUUGUAUAGCGGAAACCGCUUUGGC
This 50-nucleotide small RNA is filed under the name uncultured Micromonas. Its description in RNAcentral is "partial Cyanobacteria transfer-messenger RNA". The record is from RNAcentral. Lineage: Eukaryota; Viridiplantae; Chlorophyta; Mamiellophyceae; Mamiellales.